GAUGAAGAACGCAGCGAAAUGCGAUAAGUAAUGUGAAUUGCAGAAUUCAGUGAAUCAUCGAAUCUUUGAACGCACAUUGCGCCCUCUGGUAUUCCGGGGGGCAUGCCUGUUCGAGCGUCAUUACAACCCUCAAGCUUUGCUUGGUAUUGGACAUUGCCAGCUUCUGGCAGGUCUUAAAAUCAGUGGCGGUGCCAUUUGGCUUCAAGCGUAGUAAUUCUUCUCGCUUUGGAGAUCCAGGUGGUUACUUGCCAAUAACCCCCAAUUUUUUCAGGUUGACCUCGGAUCAGGUAGGGAUACCCGCUGAACUUAAGCAUAUCAAUAAGCGGAGGA
Molecule: unclassified non-coding RNA, 330 nt
Filed under: soil metagenome
Description: partial contains 5.8S ribosomal RNA, internal transcribed spacer 2, and large subunit ribosomal RNA
Rfam family: 5.8S ribosomal RNA (bases 1-120)
Source: RNAcentral